RNAcentral lists this ribosomal RNA (465 nucleotides) under Vreelandella stevensii. RNAcentral describes it as "partial 16S ribosomal RNA". It matches the Rfam family "Bacterial small subunit ribosomal RNA", at positions 338 to 795 of the family's 1533-position model. The record is from RNAcentral. Lineage: Bacteria; Pseudomonadati; Pseudomonadota; Gammaproteobacteria; Oceanospirillales; Halomonadaceae.
CCUACGGGGGGCUGCAGUGGGGAAUAUUGGACAAUGGGCGAAAGCCUGAUCCAGCCAUGCCGCGUGUGUGAAGAAGGCCUUCGGGUUGUAAAGCACUUUCAGUGGGGAAGAAAGCCUUGGGGCUAAUACCCUCGAGGAAGGACAUCACCCACAGAAGAAGCACCGGCUAACUCCGUGCCAGCAGCCGCGGUAAUACGGAGGGUGCGAGCGUUAAUCGGAAUUACUGGGCGUAAAGCGCGCGUAGGCGGUCUGAUAAGCCGGUUGGGAAAGCCCCGGGCUCAACCUGGGAACGGCAUCCGGAACUGUCAGGCUAGAGUGUAGGAGAGGAAGGUAGAAUUCCCGGUGUAGCGGUGAAAUGCGUAGAGAUCGGGAGGAAUACCAGUGGCGAAGGCGGCCUUCUGGACUGACACUGACGCUGAGGUGCGAAAGCGUGGGUAGCAAACAGGAUUAGAUACCCCGGUAGUC